AUUGAACGCUGGCGGCAGGCCUAACACAUGCAAGUCGAGCGGAUGAAGGGAGCUUGCUCCUGGAUUCAGCGGCGGACGGGUGAGUAAUGCCUAGGAAUCUGCCUGGUAGUGGGGGAUAACGUCCGGAAACGGGCGCUAAUACCGCAUACGUCCUGAGGUAGAAAGUGGGGGAUCUUCGGACCUCACGCUAUCAGAUGAGCCUAGGUCGGAUUAGCUAGUUGGUGGGGUAAAGGCCUACCAAGGCGGCGAUCCGUAACUGGUCUGAGAGGAUGAUCAGUCACACUGGAACUGAGACACGGUCCAGACUCCUACGGGAGGCAGCAGUGGGGAAUAUUGGACAAUGGGCGAAAGCCUGAUCCAGCCAUGCCGCGUGUGUGAAGAAGGUCUUCGGAUUGUAAAGCACUUUAAGUUGGGAGGAAGGGCAGUAAGUUAAUACCUUGCUGUUUUGACGUUACCAACAGAAUAAGCACCGGCUAACUUCGUG
Molecule: ribosomal RNA, 484 nt
Filed under: uncultured bacterium
Lineage: Bacteria
Description: partial 16S ribosomal RNA
Rfam family: Bacterial small subunit ribosomal RNA
Source: RNAcentral